Molecule: small RNA, 776 nt
Filed under: Drosophila virilis
Lineage: Eukaryota; Metazoa; Arthropoda; Insecta; Diptera; Drosophilidae
Description: GJ25620
Source: RNAcentral
CAGCAACAACAACUACGAAGAGGCACCCUAGUUUCGACCAGCCGAGUAAAAACAACAACAACAACAACAACGACGACAACAAAAAGCAUUCCAACUGACGAAGAUAAAUACAAAACACUACAAGUCUGAGAACACAACUGGUGUAUGUGUGUGUGUAUGUGUGAGGAAGAGAGAGCGAGAGAGAGAAAGAGAGGGCUAGCGAGCGUGCAAGCGUGCAAGCGAGAGCUGCAAUGAUCACUUAGUGGGCCGGCGCCCCUAAUUAAAUAAUUAAUAAUAAAAACAAUUUUUUUUAAUUUAAUUAAAAUAUCAACAAAGCAAGAAAAACAAUGGAAUCAACAAUAAUAACAUUUUUCAAUGGAUAUGUUUACUUACGUAUUCCUGAGGAAAAGCUGCCAAUGCCAAUAGCAAACACAAAUCAAAGCGAUAGUGCAUGUUUGACCCUUACGAGAACAACAACAACAACAACAACAAAGCGAAAAAGAAGAAUAUCUAUGCUCUUUGAUAGUAAACCGAUUCCGAGUAAACACAAUUGUGAAUUGCGCGAAACGCUAGCUCCCGGCAACAUGAUGCAGAAAUCCAGUUGCAGUGCAACAGCAACAAAAACAAAAACAAAAACAUUAACAACUGAUAAGGUAUUAGAAACAACAAAAACAAGGCCAGCAUCAUUGUCAACAACAACAACAACAACUAGAGCAACAACAACGCAUGGAAACAUUUGUGUUGUAUGCCGACAAGUGUUCGCAACAACAACAUGUUCCUGCAUUCAGACAGCAACA